Molecule: ribosomal RNA, 625 nt
Filed under: uncultured Lachnospiraceae bacterium
Lineage: Bacteria; Bacillati; Bacillota; Clostridia; Lachnospirales; Lachnospiraceae
Description: bacterial SSU rRNA
Rfam family: Bacterial small subunit ribosomal RNA
Source: RNAcentral
AUUCUUCGGAUGAAACUUGAUUGACUGAGCGGCGGACGGGUGAGUAACGCGUGGGUGACCUGCCCCCAUACCGGGGGAUAACAGCUGGAAACGGCUGCUAAUACCGCAUAAGCGCACAGAGCUGCAUGGCUCAGUGUGAAAAACUCCGGUGGUAUGGGAUGGGCCCGCGUCUGAUUAGGCAGUUGGCGGGGUAACGGCCCACCAAACCGACGAUCAGUAGCCGGCCUGAGAGGGCGACCGGCCACGUUGGGACUGAGACACGGCCCAAACUCCUACGGGAGGCAGCAGUGGGGAAUAUUGCACAAUGGGGGAAACCCUGAUGCAGCGACGCCGCGUGAGCGAAGAAGUAUUUCGGUAUGUAAAGCUCUAUCAGCAGGGAAGAUAAUGACGGUACCUGACUAAGAAGCCCCGGCUAACUACGUGCCAGCAGCCGCGGUAAUACGUAGGGGGCAAGCGUUAUCCGGAUUUACUGGGUGUAAAGGGAGCGUAGACGGCAAGGCAAGUCUGAUGUGAAAACCCAGGGCUUAACCCUGGGACUGCAUUGGAAACUGUCUGGCUCGAGUGCCGGAGAGGUAAGCGGAAUUCCUAGUGUAGCGGUGAAAUGCGUAGAUAUUAGGAAGAACAC